GAUGAACGCUGGCGGCGUGCCUAAUACAUGCAAGUCGAGCGAACAGACGAGGAGCUUGCUCCUCUGACGUUAGCGGCGGACGGGUGAGUAACACGUGGAUAACCUACCUAUAAGACUGGGAUAACUUCGGGACACCGGAGCUAAUACCGGAUAAUAUAUUGAACCGCAUGGUUCAAUAGUGAAAGACGGUUUUGCUGUCACUUAUAGAUGGAUCCGCGCCGCAUUAGCUAGUUGGUAAGGUAACGGCUUACCAAGGCAACGAUGCGUAGCCGACCUGAGAGGGUGGUCGCCCACACGGGAGCUGAGACGCGGUCCAGACUCCUACGGGAGGCAGCAGUAGGGAAUCUUCCGCAAUGGGCGAAAGCCUGACGGAGCAACGCCGCGUGAGUGAUGAAGGUCUUCGGAUCGUAAAACUCUGUUAUUAGGGAAGAACAAAUGUGUAAGUAACUAUGCACGUCUUGACGGUACCUAAUCAGAAAGCCACGGCUAACUACGUG
RNAcentral lists this ribosomal RNA (497 nucleotides) under uncultured bacterium. RNAcentral describes it as "partial 16S ribosomal RNA". It matches the Rfam family "Bacterial small subunit ribosomal RNA", at positions 28 to 507 of the family's 1533-position model. The record is from RNAcentral.